UACGGAGGGUGCAAGCGUUAUCCGGAUUUACUGGGCGUAAAGGGCGCGUAGGCGGCAAUUCAAGUCAUCUGUGAAAUCUCCGGGCUUAACUCGGAAUGGUCAGGUGAUACUGCUUUGCUAGAGUGCAGAAGGGGCAAUCGGAAUUCUUGGUGUAGCGGUGAAAUGCGUAGAUAUCAAGAGGAACACCUGAGGUGAAGACGGGUUGCUGGGCUGACACUGACGCUGAGGCGCGAAAGCUAGGGGAGCAAACGGG
RNAcentral lists this ribosomal RNA (253 nucleotides) under uncultured bacterium. Its description in RNAcentral is "partial 16S ribosomal RNA". It matches the Rfam family "Bacterial small subunit ribosomal RNA", at positions 524 to 776 of the family's 1533-position model. The record is from RNAcentral.